UGGGUCAUUUCCAAACAGCAGGGCACCAGACAUGCUCUACCUUAUGAGGAGUCAUGCGCACCUACAAAAGGAUGGAGUUUCACUAUCGGCUCAAAGCAUUUUUACCUCUGAGACUUUACAAAUUGAGCAAAUAGACCACUUGGAAACCCAGCGUUCUUUUCCCCAUCCUCCAUCCAGAACUGCAGGGAUCCUAGAUAUUUUCAGACUUGCCUCAAACUUCAGCAAUGUGAUCUUUGUUGGCAGUGAAUUCAUCUGUCACAGUACAAUGGGCUUCUACCAUUUGCGCUGACUUCAAGGUAUUACAAUGGGAGCUUCUGGAGACAAUGACCCAGCUUUGCAGUCUAAUGCUUUUGUGACACUAAUAAAGAGCAUUUCAGUUAAAGGUGGUAUCAUGGCAUUAUGGUCAGAAAGCUAACAUGGCACUUUUGUUUAGGACUGGCCUCCCAAAAGAAAACAUGUGAACCGAGCAAUUGUUAUUACGAUAUGAAAUAUCCCAGCUUACUAGUAGAACAUAAUUAAAUGUAGCCUACAGAGUGCAUGCAGUCAGCUUCUGCCAGGUUCUCAUGAAGAAUAAUGGAUUUGACAGUCAUAAUGGGAGAGUAGAGAUGUCUAUGGAUAAUCACAAUUGUCCGUCAAAGACACCACUCGCACAAGCGCAUCCCUGGAGGCAGCAGCGCUAGUGUUAGGUAGGUCAGGACCGCUGCGGUAACGUCAGAACUCUGCAAACACCCCCAACGUUGGUAUAAGGGACAUGCUGUCAGGGCAAAGUCCUCAAAAUUUUUCAAUUUUCUAAUCUCCUUCCUCUUUACCUAGAAUGGACAAUGAUUUGUUGGUAGCCUUAAUGGGAUGUCCAAUCUAUGUCAUAUUCAAUCUUAAAUGAUUUAUUUAAAUUAUUCUUGGUCUACUUUUGCCUUAAGUUAAUGUAUCAGCAAUAGCAAGAAGCUAAUAUUCCUGUCCUUGAAAGGGAAGAAAUACUAUUCCAAUAGUUUAUACGUCUCUGACUUGAAGUACUGUUGUGGGUUUUAAUUGAAGAAGGUUUGAAUAUUUUAAAAAUAUGUUUAGAUUCAAGUAGUAGAAAAACUUUUCUUUCAGUUGGGUUGCGGAAUAGUCUUGUCUCUUGUAUAUUGAUUAAAUUUUAUGUUAUCAAUGAAUUGAUUUGAGAGAGAUUAUAAAUCCAAUCCAAGCACUAUGAUAGCUCGAGUGUGGACAGAGUUUUUAGGCAGGGGGAAUCUUCAUGGAGGAAGCAGAUGAUUCAUCUGGAUGUUAAAUGAUCAUUAGGAUCUCUACAGGUAGAAAUGUCGAUCGAUAGAGAAAAGAGUACAAGAAUAAAGAUGGGGAUGGGCAUGUUGUAUUCAAAGCAUGGUUGUAGUUCAAUGUGAUAUGGGCUUAAAGUUGUUUAUUUUGGAUUAUACUGAAAAAUAAGAGAGGCUGCUUGAAGCUAGAUCUUAGAAUUAUCUGAAUUUCUAUUCAGAAGAGUAACCAUUAUUAUGAAAUAGACACAGCUUCACAGCUUUGUGUAACAUCUUGGUGACUUUCCAAUUAGUUUAGAGAAACAUAACUGUUUGAACCUCCAGAUGUAUUAUUUAUUUAUCUGCCAAUGUGAUGA
This is a long non-coding RNA of Trichechus manatus latirostris (Florida manatee), 1606 nucleotides long. RefSeq lists it as uncharacterized. The transcript is spliced from 4 exons. The record is from RefSeq and is a predicted model, not a curated record. Lineage: Eukaryota; Metazoa; Chordata; Mammalia; Sirenia; Trichechidae.